CCUACGGGAGGCAGCAGUCGGGAAUUUUGGGCAAUGGGCGAAAGCCUGACCCAGCAACGCCGCGUGAAGGAUGAAAUCCCUCGGGAUGUAAACUUCGCAAGAACGGGAAGAAUAAGUAAGGGUUAAUAUCUCUUACGAUGACGGUACUGUUUGUAAGCUCCGGCUAACUCCGUGCCAGCAGCCGCGGUAAU
RNAcentral lists this ribosomal RNA (191 nucleotides) under uncultured bacterium. RNAcentral's name for it is "partial 16S ribosomal RNA". It matches the Rfam family "Bacterial small subunit ribosomal RNA", at positions 338 to 524 of the family's 1533-position model. The record is from RNAcentral. RNAcentral also lists the same sequence under 1 other name.